GUCUAUGGCCAUACCUAGGCGAAAACACCAGUUCCCGUUCAAUCACUGCAGUUAAGUGAAAACGUCUGAUGGCCUCGUUCGUACUAUGGUUGGAGACAACAUAGGAAUCCAAGGUGCUGUAGGCU
Molecule: ribosomal RNA, 125 nt
Organism: Schizosaccharomyces cryophilus OY26
Lineage: Eukaryota; Fungi; Ascomycota; Schizosaccharomycetes; Schizosaccharomycetales; Schizosaccharomycetaceae
Source: Rfam